UCUCGGCUUAUCACCGGCAGUCCCCCUAGAGUGCCCAACUGAAUGAUGGCAACUAAGGGCGAGGGUUGCGCUCGUUGCGGGACUUAACCCAACACCUCACGGAACGAGCUGACGACAGCCAUGCAGCACCUUGCUUUGUGCCCCGAAGGGAAGACCGCUUUCGCGGCCGGUCACUCGCAUUCUAGCCCAGGUAAGGUUCCUCGCGUAUCAUCGAAUUAAACCACAUGCUCCACCGCUCGUGCGGACCCCCGUCAGUUCCUUUGAGUUUUAAUCUUGCGACCGUACUCCCCAGGCGGAUGACUUCGCGCGUUAGCUGCGUUACUAAGGGAUUUAACUCCCCCAACAACUAGUCAUCAUCGUUUAGGGCGUGGACUAC
This 376-nucleotide unclassified non-coding RNA is filed under the name uncultured bacterium. RNAcentral describes it as "contains 16S-23S intergenic spacer region". The record is from RNAcentral.